CCUACGGGUGGCAGCAGUGAGGAAUAUUGGUCAAUGGCCGGGAGGCUGAACCAGCCAAGUCGCGUGAGGGAAGACGGCCCUACGGGUUGUAAACCUCUUUUAUAAGGGAGCAAGGUGCAGGUCGGGUCCCGCUGUGAGAGUACCUUAAGAAAAAGGAUCGGCUAACUCCGUGCCAGCAGCCGCGGUAAUACGGAGGAUCCGAGCGUUAUCCGGAUUUAUUGGGGUAAAAGGGAGCGAAGUGGGGUUUUUAAGUCAGUGGUAAAAUUGUGGGGUUAAACCCCAAACAGCCGUUGAAACUGGGGAUCUAGAGUAUGCGAGAGGUAUGCGGAAUGCGUGGUGUAGCGGUGAAAUGCAUAGAUAUCACGCAGAACCCCGAUUGCGAAGGCAGCAUACCGGUGCACAACUGACGCUCAGGCACGAAAGCGUGGGUAUCGAACAGGAUUAGAUACCCUUGUAGUC
This 459-nucleotide ribosomal RNA is filed under the name uncultured bacterium. Its description in RNAcentral is "partial 16S ribosomal RNA". It matches the Rfam family "Bacterial small subunit ribosomal RNA", at positions 338 to 795 of the family's 1533-position model. The record is from RNAcentral.